This 200-nucleotide ribosomal RNA is filed under the name uncultured prokaryote. RNAcentral describes it as "partial 16S ribosomal RNA". It matches the Rfam family "Bacterial small subunit ribosomal RNA", at positions 1182 to 1382 of the family's 1533-position model. The record is from RNAcentral.
AUGUCAAAUCAUCAUGCCCCUUAUGUCUUGGGCUUCACACGUGCUACAAUGGCUCAUACAGCGUGAAGCUAGGCAGCGAUGCCGCGCGGACCACAAAAGGGAGCCUCAGUUCGGAUUGCAGGCUGCAACCCGCCUGCAUGAAGUUGGAAUCGCUAGUAAUCGCGAAUCAGCAUGUCGCGGUGAAUACGUUCCCGGGCCUU